Molecule: ribosomal RNA, 250 nt
Filed under: uncultured Paracoccaceae bacterium
Lineage: Bacteria; Pseudomonadati; Pseudomonadota; Alphaproteobacteria; Rhodobacterales; Paracoccaceae
Description: uncultured Rhodobacteraceae bacterium partial 16S ribosomal RNA
Rfam family: Bacterial small subunit ribosomal RNA
Source: RNAcentral
UACGGAGGGGGCUAGCGUUGUUCGGAAUUACUGGGCGUAAAGCGCGCGUAGGCGGAUCAGCAAGUUAGGGGUGAAAUCCCGGGGCUCAACCCCGGAACUGCCUCUAAAACUGUUGGUCUUGAGUUCGAGAGAGGUGAGUGGAAUUCCGAGUGUAGAGGUGAAAUUCGUAGAUAUUCGGAGGAACACCAGUGGCGAAGGCGGCUCACUGGCUCGAUACUGACGCUGAGGUGCGAAAGCGUGGGGAGCAAAC